CAGUUCUCUAGAAUAUAAUGCAAUAGUUAUCCAUGAGAACUGCGUAAACCUAUGGUAAAUGGUAGUUACCGAUGAGGAUAUUCAUUAAAGUCCUUCCAAACUGCACCAAAAGAGAAGUUACUCUCAAUCUUGCUAGUUUAAAGGAACUAUUAUGAUUGAAACUAAAUGUCAUACUCACAUACCUCGUAGAAUAUACCUUGCAAUUUUCAGAAGUUUGUUAUUUAAAUGCCUUUCAGUUGUUACGUAAAGCCCGAUUAAUGACCGAUUUAAAUUCCCUGGCCAAUUAUCCGUUGUUUUGAGAGCAAACUCAUUAACCGGUGUCAUGUUCUAAGCAAGAAUUUCGAUGAAACCUCUAAAGGUUCAAUUAGGUGUGCCGUAGCAAUCACCAUACCAAUAGCUUUAAUCACAUCUAAUGUUAUCGAUUAGCGGCCAAAGCCAUACACAAUUGUUAUAUAUAAUUUCUGCAAAAAAUUUCAAAUAUAGAAAUGUAUAAAUCAAAUAUAACAAGUUAAAAAGUA
Molecule: long non-coding RNA, 518 nt
Organism: Musca domestica (house fly)
Lineage: Eukaryota; Metazoa; Arthropoda; Insecta; Diptera; Muscidae
Exons: 2
Source: RefSeq, a predicted model, not a curated record